UACGGGGGGGGCAAGCGUUGUUCGGCAUUACUGGGCGUAAAGGGCUCGUAGGCGGCCAACUAAGUCGGAUGUGAAAUCCCCAGGCUUAACCUGGGAACUGCAUCCGAUACUGGAUGGCUUGAAUUCGGGAGAGGGAUGCAGAAUUCCAGGUGUAGCGGUGAAAUGCGUAGAUAUCUGGAGGAAUACCGGUGGCGAAGGCGGCAUCCUGGACCGACAUUGACGCUGAGGAGCGAAAGCUAGGGGAGCAAACGGG
This 253-nucleotide ribosomal RNA is filed under the name uncultured bacterium. RNAcentral's name for it is "partial 16S ribosomal RNA". It matches the Rfam family "Bacterial small subunit ribosomal RNA", at positions 524 to 776 of the family's 1533-position model. The record is from RNAcentral.